RNAcentral lists this ribosomal RNA (380 nucleotides) under uncultured bacterium. RNAcentral's name for it is "bacterial SSU rRNA". It matches the Rfam family "Bacterial small subunit ribosomal RNA", at positions 28 to 412 of the family's 1533-position model. The record is from RNAcentral.
GACGAACGCUGGCGGCGUGCUUAACACAUGCAAGUCGAGCGGUAAGGCCCUUUCGGGGGUACACGAGCGGCGAACGGGUGAGUAACACGUGGGUGACCUGCCCUCAGCUCUGGGAUAAGCCUGGGAAACCGGGUCUAAUACUGGAUAUGACUCCAUGACGCAUGUUGUGGGGUGGAAAGCCUUGUGCGGCUGAGGAUGGGCCCGCGGCCUAUCAGCUUGUUGGUGGGGUGANGGCCUACCAAGGCGACGACGGGUAGCCGGCCUGAGAGGGCGACCGGCCACACUGGGACUGAGACACGGCCAGACUCCUACGGGAGGCAGCAGUGGGAAUCUUGCGCAAUGGGCAAAGCCUGACGCAGCGACGCCGCGUGAGGGAUGAC